This 4640-nucleotide long non-coding RNA is filed under the name Gossypium raimondii (Peruvian cotton). RNAcentral's name for it is "long non-coding RNA (GRAI_LNC004963)". The record is from RNAcentral. Lineage: Eukaryota; Viridiplantae; Streptophyta; Magnoliopsida; Malvales; Malvaceae.
AAAUUUACAACAACUUAUUGCUGCUUUUAAUCUUAUAAAAAAUAAACACACCGUUACAUUUUAAACCCCAUAUAAACCCCUUAGGUGGGGUAUUUGAAUCCUUACCUGCCCUAGUGACCUAUUUAAGUCUUGCAGGUCGUAAAGAGAACUCCCUUUACGUGAAAAAUAUUACUCAGAUAUUCAAGUCCUUCCACUUGGAUGCUUGGUCUUUCGAAAUAUACAAAAAAACUGAAAAAAAGGUAGUAAACAAAAUAAAUUACCCUACGUAAAAGUAUUAUUUAUCAUAUAUGUUCUAAUUAGCCGCUUUCGUAACCUAUUUUUAGCAACAACAAAAAAUCAAUUAAAACAGUUCUUAUUUUUUAUAAAAGUUUUUAUUCAUCUUUUAAAAUUUAAAUUUAAAUUUAUGUCUAAUUAUUAUAAUACAUAUAUAAUAAAUAAGCUUUUCCUCGUAUUAUUCCACCAGCAACCAGACAUCAGAGUAUUACAAAACUACAACAAUGCCUUCAACAUAGUGAAGAGUUGAACUAAAAUCAGAAAUCUGAUCUUUAGCAAUAAGAGAAAUGCUAUGGCUUUUAUAAAUCCAGUAUUCGUAGAAUACAGAGGAAUCCCACAUAGAAUUUUUUAUAUAGGUAUCAAAACCUCAUAGUGUUUACAUUUCUAAUCUAAACCUUUCAAAUUUAAAUCAUGAAUACUUUCUAGAACUUCAGUGGAUAAGCUCUGAAGAUACGAGUGAAGAUGUAGACAGCCUAAAUUAUUAGUGCCGAUUAUUGAGCAUCAAUGAACACCUUAUACAAGUAUAGAAAUCAGUUCUCAGAGUUCUCAGAGCAUCAAUGUAACAGCCCCUACAUCGCCUGGUUAGACUCAUAAGAUGCAAAUAAUAGCUCGCAGAUAAACAACUAAAAAUGCAUCUAUUUUGAAAUGAAGGUAUGUAAUGUAAGCAUAGAUUUGCAAAUGCAUAUACCAAGUAUCAUUAUCUUUUGCUUCACUAUUAUCUUUAUAGAAAUAACAAUUCACAGCAGUGAUCUACUAUGCACAAAACAAGAAUGACCCCAUGCUAGAAUGUAUGUAUUGACUACUGAGGUUGAAAGGUGUUGAGAGCUAUAGUGUCCUGAUGUAGCUCAAGUAAUAACUAAACAUGGUCCUUUGCCAUCGAUGGAUUCCUUCACGGGAUGGAAAAUAUAUAGUGUGGAAGACAACCGAACAAGUGCUUCCGAAUCUUUUAUUUCAAGACAGGUAACAGUCCAUACCAUCAUAUCAAUAUUCAGAGGUACAUAUCCAUUGAAAGUAUUUCAAAAGCGUAAAUUAAGUGUUAUUAUCAUUUGCUUCACUAUCUCUUUUAAAAGAAUAAUAUAUUUUCACAGCAGAAGUAUAUUCAUAGCCGUAAUACUUGAAUGUAUAGGACUACUUAAGAGGUGUUGAGAGAUGUAGUGUCCAGAUGUAGCUCAAAUAACAACUUUAGACUGGUACUGGGCAACGAUGGACUCCAUCAAGGGAUGGCUAAUAGAUAGAUUGGAAACCCAAACUAUCAACUCCUUCCCUAUCUUUUAUUUUCCAGACAUGUAACAGUCACUACCAUCAAAUCUAAGGUAGACACCUGACUACGUCUGGUUAGGCUCAUGGGACACAAACAACUAUUAAUAGUUUCCAGAUAAACACCAAAAAUGCAUCUAUAUUCAAAAGAUACAAAAGCACAGAAAGUAUUUCCAAAUGCAUAUAUUAAGUGUUAUUAUCAUUUGCUUCACUACCCCUUUAGAAAACAAACAGAUUUGCAACACGUGAUCCACUAUAUCCAAAAUAAGGAUGGCCUUCAUGCUUGGAUGUAUAGAUUGAAUACUGAUAGAAAGAGGUUUCGAGAGAUGUAGUGCCCAGAUGUAACUUGAGUAAUAACUAAACACAUAGUACUGGCCAACGAUGGACUCGUUCAAGGGGAUGGCUAAUAGAUAGAUUGGAAACCCAAACCAUCAACUACUUUCCUAUCUUUUAUUUUCCAGACAUGUAACAGUCCCUACAAUCAUAUUCCAAGGUAGACACCUAACUACUCGUGGAACGUAAACAACUAAAUAUUAAAUAAUAGUUCAUAAACAAACAACUAAAAAUGUAUCAAUAUUCAAAAUAAGUUAAUAUAAGAAUUGAAGCAUUUAAGUGUUACUAUCAUUUGCUUUACUAUCUCUUAACAAACAGAUUCAUAGAAGUGGUCAACAUAUCCAAAAUAAGAAUGGCCUCAUACUAGAAUGCAUAAGUUGACUACUGGAGUAGAGGUGUUGAGAGAUGUAGUGUCCAGAUGUAGCUCAAGUAAUAACUAAACAAAUAGUACUGGGCAACGAUGGACUCUUUCAAGGGAUGGCUAAUAGAUAGAUUGGAAACCCAAACUAUCAACUCCUUCCCUAUCUUCUAUUUUCCAGACAUGUAACAGUCCCUACCAUCAAAUCUAAGGUAGACACCUGACUACGUCUGGUUGGACUCAUGGGACACAAACAACAAAAUAUUAAAUAAUAGUUUACAGAUAAACAAUAAAAUGCAUCUGUAUUCAAAAGAUAAAGAAGCACGGGAAGUAUUUCCAAACGCAUAUAUUAAGUGUUAUUAUAAUUUGUUCAGUAUCCCGUUAAAAAACAAACAGAUUCACAACAUGCGAUCCACUAUGUCCAAAAUAAGGAUGACCUUCAUACUUGAAUGUAUAGAUUGGCUGCAUAUAUAAAGAGGUGUUGAGAGAUGUAAUGUCCAGAUGUAGCUCAAGUAAUAACAGAACACAUAGUACUGGGCAACGAUGGACUCCUUCAAGGGAUGUACAACAGAUAGAAUGGAAACCCAAACCAUCAACUACUUCCCUAUCUUUUAUUUUCCAGACAUGUAACAGUCCCUACAACCAUAUCAAAGGUAGACACCUGACUAUGUCUGGUUAGAAUCAUGGAACGCAAAUAACUAAAUAUUAAAUAACAGUUCAUAGACAAACAUCUAUAAAUGUAUCAAUAUUCAAAAUAAGUUGCUUUAAGAAUAGAGAGCAACUAAAUAUUGCUGCUAUUUUCUCCCCUAAACCACAUCACUAUCAUUUGCUUUACUAUCUCUUAGAACAGAUUCACAGGAGUGGUCCAUGUAUCCAAAAUAAGAACAGCUUCAUACUAGAAUGCAUAGAUUGACUACUGAAGUAGAGUUGUUGAGAGAUGUAGUGUCCAGAUGUAGCUCAAGUAAUAACCAAACAAAUAGUACUGGGCAACGAUGGACUCCUUCAAGGGAUGGCUAAUAGUUAGAUAGGAAACCCAAACCAUUGAUUCCUUCCCUAUCUUUCAUAUUCCAGACAUGUAACAGUCCCUACCAUCAUAUCAAAGGUAGACACCUGACUACGUCUGGUUAGACUCAUGGAACGCAAGCAAUUAAAUAUUAAAUACUUAUAACAGUUUCCAGAGGCUCGUAUAUCCAAAAAUAAAAAAGGAAUCAUACUUGAAUGUAUAGAUUAAUAACUGAACUAGAGUGUCGAGUGAUAUAGCCUCUAGGUGUAGCUCAAAUGAUAACUGAACACACAGUAUUGGACGCUAUAUCAUUUGAGAGGUGUUACCAAAGGCGCCAGGUGCACUUUAGACAAUAGAACCCUCCCUCAUAUUGUCAUAGGCAGAAGGCACAAAAGAAGCAGUCAUCAGACUGAAGUAAGAUGCAAUAUGUAUAUGUGGCUAUUUUAGCAUGGGUGUGCAUGUAUGUAUAAAUGUACGCUAUAUAUAUAUAUAUAUAUAUAUAUAUAAAAGACAGCUCAAACUAAUGUAUAUGAUUCAUUAAUGGCUAACCAAUCUAGCUUGCCUCUUGCAUUCAUUCACAUGUCAAAUCCAUUCAUAAAGUGUAUAUGAUUCGAUAAUAUUUCACUUUGGCCAAGAAAAAAUAAUAUUUAACACCUUCCUACUAGGAUCAGGGGUAAUCAUGUAUUAAAUCUGUGAUGUUGAAAAACAAUUAAAUUAGCCAAUGCCCUAACAGCAUAACCCUCAAAUCAUUCACAUGAUACCAUAAAUUAAACAAACAAAUAGAUACUUAUACUAAAACAAUGGGACAUAUCAUCAAGCAAAGGCACAUCAAUACAUGCAUAACAUUAAAAAAACACUAAAGGAAAAGCACAUUUGAUUGAAAGUAGAUAUAUCUUUCUCUAAUUUCCUCGAGGAAGUAAAAAAAAAAAAAGCAUUUCUCUUGUUCUUCUCGUUGAAUCCGCUGCAAACUCCAGCAGAUAAUAAGCAACAUGCUUUAAAAGGAACUCUAACAGGUGAAUAAAAGGGAGAGAUGAAACCGCCAUUGAAAGUUCAAACAUAAACAUACUAUAUUCAAAUAAGGUCUAUAUCAAGCUGAUCCUGUAAAUAAAAAUGAGAAAACAACAUAAGUAAUAACUAAACACCUAAUGCAGUAUCUAAAGCGAUCAAGAAUGGGAUGCAUAAAAAAUCCUUGUCUUGAUAAUAGUAAAUGGGUAUUUUGUAAUAUGAGAAAUGAUAAAAAAGAAAACAAAAAUUAUCUAAUAGUGGGAAACCAUAAGAAAUGAAGAAACUCCAAGGACACAGAGCGGUCCGUUGGUGGUUCGCACACCAUAGAGCGGAUGAGUGCUAACGGCUAGGUCUUAAGUCUAUACGAGAAAAGAGAAACCCUAAACUUCGAAUAUAUAGGCUAAGGCAGGC